UACGUAGGGGGCAAGCGUUAUCCGGAUUUACUGGGUGUAAAGGGAGCGCAGACGGCAGUGCAAGUCUGGAGUGAAAGCCCGGGGCCCAACCCCGGGACUGCUCUGGAAACUGUGCGGCUAGAGUACUGGAGGGGCAGGCGGAAUUCCUAGUGUAGCGGUGAAAUGCGUAGAUAUUAGGAGGAACACCAGUGGCGAAGGCGGCCUGCUGGACAGUAACUGACGUUGAGGCUCGAAAGCGUGGGGAGCAAACAGG
Molecule: ribosomal RNA, 253 nt
Filed under: uncultured bacterium
Lineage: Bacteria
Description: partial 16S ribosomal RNA
Rfam family: Bacterial small subunit ribosomal RNA
Source: RNAcentral